GAUGAACGCUGGCGGCGUGCCUAAUACAUGCAAGUCGAGCGAACAGACGAGGAGCUUGCUCCUCUAACGUUAGCGGCGGACGGGUGAGUAACACGUGGAUAACCUACCUAUAAGACUGGGAUAACUUCGGGAAACCGGAGCUAAUACCGGAUAAUAUAUUGAACCGCAUGGUUCAAUAGUGAAAGACGGUUUUGCUGUCACUUAUAGAUGGAUCCGCGCCGCAUUAGCUAGUUGGUAAGGUAACAGCUUACCAAGGCAACGAUGCGUAGCCGACCUGAGAGGGUGAUCGGCCACACUGGAACUGAGACACGGUCCAGACUCCUACGGGAGGCAGCAGUAGGGAAUCUUCCGCAAUGGGCGAAAGCCUGACGGAGCAACGCCGCGUGAGUGAUGAAGGUCUUCGGAUCGUAAAACUCUGUUAUUAGGGAAGAACAAAUGUGUAAGUAACUAUGCACGUCUUGACGGUGCCUAAUCAGAAAGCCACGGCUAACUACGUG
RNAcentral lists this ribosomal RNA (497 nucleotides) under uncultured bacterium. RNAcentral describes it as "partial 16S ribosomal RNA". It matches the Rfam family "Bacterial small subunit ribosomal RNA", at positions 28 to 507 of the family's 1533-position model. The record is from RNAcentral.